GAUGAACGCUGGCGGCGUGCCUAAUACAUGCAAGUCGAGCGAACAGACGAGGAGCUUGCUCCUUCGACGUUAGCGGCGGACGGGUGAGUAACACGUAGGUAACCUACCUAUAAGACUGGGAUAACUUCGGGAAACCGGAGCUAAUACCGGAUAAUAUUUCGAACCGCAUGGUUCGAUAGUGAAAGAUGGCUUUGCUAUCACUUAUAGAUGGACCUGCACCGUAUUAGCUAGUUGGUAAGGUAACGGCUUACCAAGGCAACGAUACGUAGCCGACCUGAGAGGGUGAUCGGACACACUGGAACUGAGACACGGUGCAGACUCCUACGGGAGGCAGCAGUAGGGAAUCUUCCGCAAUGGGCGAAAGCCUGACGGAGGAACGCCGCGUGAGUGAUGAAGGUCUUCGGAUCGUAAAACUCUGUUAUUAGGGAAGAACAAACGUGUAAGUAACUGUGCACGUCUUGACGGUACCUAAUCAGAAAGCCACGGCUAACUACGUG
RNAcentral lists this ribosomal RNA (497 nucleotides) under uncultured bacterium. RNAcentral's name for it is "partial 16S ribosomal RNA". It matches the Rfam family "Bacterial small subunit ribosomal RNA", at positions 28 to 507 of the family's 1533-position model. The record is from RNAcentral.